RNAcentral lists this unclassified non-coding RNA (363 nucleotides) under fungal sp. Its description in RNAcentral is "partial internal transcribed spacer region". The stretch from base 1 to 45 matches the Rfam family "Eukaryotic small subunit ribosomal RNA", at positions 1787 to 1831 of the family's 1831-position model. The record is from RNAcentral. Lineage: Eukaryota; Fungi.
AGUCGUAACAAGGUUUCCGUAGGUGAACCUGCGGAAGGAUCAUUAACAAAUCGGUCUGUGGUUUCACGUUAGACAUGCAUGAGUGAUGUGUACACUUGUAUAUGUGUGAGUGAGUGAUCAUAUCAUGUAUGAUGUGUACACUUGUAUAUGUAUGAGUGAGUGAUCAUAUCAUGUAUGAUGUGUACACUUGUAUAUGUAUGAGUGAUCAUAUCAUAUCACUCAUAUCAUGUCUAACGUGGGACUGCUGGACAUUGGCGCUUCGCCGCUUGGCGAGUGCAUGAACGCUUUAUUGUCGGUUGAUGGUAGUGUGGGCUAGUAAAUAGUAAAUAACGAUCACUUUUAACAAUGGAUCUCUUGGCUCCU